This 117-nucleotide ribosomal RNA is filed under the name Chitinophaga niabensis. The record is from RNAcentral. Lineage: Bacteria; Pseudomonadati; Bacteroidota; Chitinophagia; Chitinophagales; Chitinophagaceae.
UAUGGUGGUUUUGCCGAGGGUGUUCACCUCUUCCCAUUCCGAACAGAGAAGUUAAGCCCCUCAUGGCCAAUGGUACUGCACUAUCAUGCGGGAGAGUAGGUAGCUGCCAUAUUUAUU